UGGGGAAUUUUGGACAAUGGGCGAAAGCCUGAUCCAGCCAUGCCGCGUGAGUGAAGAAGGCCUUCGGGUUGUAAAGCUCUUUUAGUCGGAAAGAAAGAGUUGCAAUGAAUAAUUGUGAUUUAUGACGGUACCGACAGAAAAAGCACCGGCUAACUACGUGCCAGCAGCCGCGGUAAUACGUAGGGUGCGAGCGUUAAUCGGAAUUACUGGGCGUAAAGGGUGCGCAGGCGGUCUGGCAAGUCAGAUGUGAAAGCCCCGGGCUUAACCUGGGAAUUGCGUUUGAAACUACAAGGCUAGAGUGCAGCAGAGGGGAGUGGAAUUCCAUGUGUAGCAGUGAAAUGCGUAGAGAUGUGGAAGAACACCGAUGGCGAAGGCAGCUCCCUGGGUUGACACUGACGCUCAUGCACGAAAGCGUGGGGAGCAAACA
RNAcentral lists this ribosomal RNA (427 nucleotides) under uncultured beta proteobacterium. RNAcentral's name for it is "bacterial SSU rRNA". It matches the Rfam family "Bacterial small subunit ribosomal RNA", at positions 355 to 774 of the family's 1533-position model. Lineage: Bacteria; Pseudomonadati; Pseudomonadota; Betaproteobacteria. The record is from RNAcentral.